GUGUUGAUAAGGUGCACUUGAAUCAACCCUGAAAUGUGUAAUUGAAUAUUGCUGAACAAUUAAGAAUUGUACAUACUUUGUAGACGAGAUAGUUUAUUUCUGUAGGAGAUAUUAGCCACACUUUCUGUUAUGUGAAUUGAGCUUAAUAUGGACAUAAACCUAGGCAUGAAAAAAAAUAAUCUAGAAAUUUACUUUUUUGUAAUGUCCUUAUGUCCUUAAAGGCUGACUCUGUUCAGAAUGACAGAGAGAGGUAUCAAGAUAUCAGACAUGUCCCUAUUUUUACAUUCAGAACAUAUGUUAUGAGGUUGAGUUUUAGAGUGAGUGAAAGCUGUCUGUUGUUAUGGAUGCAUGCUAUACCGAUGGAAGGUGAUACGGGAGCAGGUGUUUGGAGAAGUGAAACCAAAAGGGAGUAUGUAUAAAUCUAUGCACAUAAUGAUCAUAUUUUCAGAAAUUAAAAUGAAUAGGACGAACAUUGUAGAACAAUGUAUAUGUAUCUAUGCCCAUACCAAGUGGAUUUCACACACCUGACCUGCAGUGGAUAUGAUAUUUCCUUGUUUCUUCUAUGUAUUUUAACUCAGAAUUUCAAUGUGUUUGUUUUAAAACAGUAAUUUCUUCCAAUGUUCUUUUUUUGUGUGUGAGUGGACUUGAUAACCAUCUGUACAUUUUUGUCACAUGAAUUUACCCAGUACAACAUAAUAAAAUCGCCACUCACUUAAAUACUUGAAUAUAUUGAACAUAUUUAUUGAAACUUUUCAGCACUGUAAAUAGCCAUGUAUAUAACUUGUAUUUGAGAGGCCAACUUGUAGUAGUGAUUGGGGAUAUAUAAUGUUUCACAUAGCAUGCUAUGCUGCAUUUUAAGUGAAUUUUCGGAAUUGAUUUUCAUCUUUAUAAAAGUGAAUGGUGCACUUGAAUCAACCCUGAAAUGUGUAAUUGAAUAUUACUGAACAAUUAAGAAUUGUACAUAUUUUGUAGACAAGAUAGUUUAUUUCUGUAGAAGAUAUUAGCCACACUUUCUGUUAUGUGAAUUGAGCUUAAUAUGGACAUAUACCUAGGCAGGUACAAAAAUAAUCUAGAAAUUUACUUUUUUGUAAUGUCCUUAUGUCCUUAAAGGCUGACUCUGUUCAGAAUGACAGAGCGAGGUAUCAAGAUAUCAGACAUGUCCCUAUUUUUACAUUCAGAACAUAUGUUAUGAGGUUGAGUUUUAGAGUGAGUGAAAGCUGUCUGUUGUUAUGGAUGCAUGCUAUACCGAUGGAAGGUGAUACGGGAGCAGGUGUUUGGAGAAGUGAAACCAAAAGGGAGUAUGUAUAAAUCUAUGCACAUAAUGAUCAUAUUGUCAGAAAUUAAAAUGAGUAGGACAAACAUUGUAGUACAAUGUAUAUGUAUCUAUGCCCAUACCAAGUGGAUUUCACACACCUGUCCCUCAGUGGAUAUGAUAUUUCCUUGUUUCUUCUAUGUAUUUUAACUCAUGAUUUCAAUGUGUUUGUUUUAAAACAGUAAUUUCUUCCAAUGUUCUUUUUUUUUGUGUGAGUGGACUUGAUAACCAUCUGUACAUUUUUGUCACAUGAAUUUACCCAGUACAACAUAAUAAAAUCGCCACUCACUUAAAUACUUGAAUAUAUUGAACAUAUUUAUUGAAACUUUUCAGCACUGUAAAUAGCCAUGUAUAUAACUUGUAUUUGAGAGGCCAACUUGUAGUAGUGAUUGGGGAUAUAUAAUGUUUCACAUAGCAUGCUAUGCUGCAUUUUAAGUGAAUUUUCGGAAUUGAUUUUCAUCUUUAUAAAAGUGAAUGGUGCACUUGAAUCAACCCUGAAAUGUGUAAUUGAAUAUUACUGAACAAUUAAGAAUUGUACAUAUUUUGUAGACAAGAUAGUUUAUUUCUGUAGAAGAUAUUAGCCACACUUUCUGUUAUGUGAAUUGAGCUUAAUAUGGACAUAAACCUAGGCAGGUAAAAAAAUAAUCUAGAAAUUUACUUUUUUGUAAUGUCCUUACGUCCUUAAAGGCUGACUCUGUUCAGAAUGACAAAGAGAGGUAUCAAGAUAUCAGACAUGUCCCUAUUUUUACAUUCAGAACAUAUGUUAUGAGGUUGAGUUUUAGAGUGAGUGAAAGCUGUCUGUUGUUAUGGAUGCAUGCUAUACCGAUGGAAGGUGAUACGGGAGCAGGUGUUUGGAGAAGUGAAACCAAAAGGGAGUAUGUAUAAAUCUAUGCACAUAAUGAUCAUAUUGUCAGAAAUUAAAAUGAGUAGGACAAACAUUGUAGUACAAUGUAUAUGUAUCUAUGCCCAUACCAAGUGGAUUUCACACACCUGACCUGCAGUGGAUAUGAUAUUUCCUUGUUUCUUCUAUGUAUUUUAACUCAUGAUUUCAAUGUGUUUGUUUUAAAACAGUAAUUUCUUCCAAUGUUCUUUUUUUGUGUGUGAGUGGACUUGAUAACCAUCUGUACAUUUCUGUCACAUGAAUUUACCCAGUACAACAUAAUAAAAUCGCCACUCACUUAAAUAUUUGAAUAUAUUGAACAUAUUUAUUGAAACUUUUCAGCACUGUAAAUAGCCAUGUAUAUAACUUGUAUUUGAGAGGCCAACUUGUAGUAGUGAUUGGGGAUAUAUAAUGUUUCACAUAGCAUGCUAUGCUGCAUUUUAAGUGAAUUUUCGGAAUUGAUUUUCAUCUUUAUAAAAGUGAAUGGUGCACUUGAAUCAACCCUGAAAUGUGUAAUUGAAUAUUACUGAACAAUUAAGAAUUGUACAUAUUUUGUAGACAAGAUAGUUUAUUUCUGUAGAAGAUAUUAGCCACACUUUCUGUUAUGUGAAUUGAGCUUAAUAUGGACAUAUACCUAGGCAGGUACAAAAAUAAUCUAGAAAUUUACUUUUUUGUAAUGUCCUUAUGUCCUUAAAGGCUGACUCUGUUCAGAAUGACAGAGAGAGGUAUCAAGAUAUCAGACAUGUCCCUAUUUUUACAUUCAGAACAUAUGUUAUGAGGUUGAGUUUUAGAGUGAGUGAAAGCUGUCUGUUGUUAUGGAUGCAUGCUAUACCGAUGGAAGGUGAUACGGGAGCAGGUGUUUGGAGAAGUGUAUAGAAUGAAAGUGUGUAGGCCUUGUUAACAUGGGAAUGCUGGGCAUUUUGGACACUGUCCCUACUGCCCUUAAAUCUCUCCAAUUAGUAUGAAAGUACUGUAAUGUAUUAUGAGUGCUACAAACCCUGUAUUUUGUUGCAUUGGUGAGGAUGCCAGAGUAUUAUAUUUUUGUUCAAAUUCUGAUGAA
This is a long non-coding RNA of Haliotis rufescens (red abalone), 3252 nucleotides long. RefSeq lists it as uncharacterized. NCBI's taxonomy places the organism in Eukaryota, Metazoa, Mollusca, Gastropoda, Lepetellida, Haliotidae. The record is from RefSeq and is a predicted model, not a curated record. The transcript is spliced from 2 exons.